RNAcentral lists this ribosomal RNA (484 nucleotides) under uncultured bacterium. RNAcentral's name for it is "partial 16S ribosomal RNA". It matches the Rfam family "Bacterial small subunit ribosomal RNA", at positions 28 to 507 of the family's 1533-position model. The record is from RNAcentral.
AUUGAACGCUGGCGGCAUGCUUUACACAUGCAAGUCGAACGGCAGCGCGGGCUUCGGCCUGGCGGCGAGUUGCGAACGGGUGAGUAAUGCAUCGGUACGUGCCCAGUAGUGGGGGAUAGCCCGGCGAAAGCCGGCUUAAUACCGCAUACGACCUGAGGUUGAAAGCGGGGGAUCGAAAGGCCUCGCGCUAUUGGCGCGGCCGAUGUCGGAUAAGCUAGUUGGUGGGGUAAAGGCUUACCAAGGCGACGAUCCGUAGCUGGUCUGAGAGGACGACCAGCCACACUGGGACUGAGACACGGCCCAGACUCCUACGGGAGGCAGCAGUGGGGAAUUUUGGACAAUGGGGGCAACCCUGAUCCAGCCAUGCCGCGUGCGGGAAGAAGGCCUUCGGGUUGUAAACCGCUUUUGUUCGGGAAGAAAUCCUCUGGGCUAAUACCCCGGGGGGAUGACGGUACCGGAAGAAUAAGCACCGGCUAACUACGUG